GGGCAGAGAACGAUGCUCCCAUGGCAACAUUUGGAUUUCUGAACUUCAUCCCUGAGUCCCGGGCUGAGCGAGCAGAGCAGUGAAACUCAGAAGCAGAAGAGCCUUCCAGAAUCCUUUGCAGGUUGCGCUCUGUGAUGCCACCCCCUGGCACUACGACAAUUCUACCCUUUGCCUGUUCUGCAAGUUUCUUAAUCAAGGAUAAUCCUUCCAGUGCAGAGCUAUCGCAGCCACUGGUCA
RNAcentral lists this long non-coding RNA (237 nucleotides) under Gallus gallus (chicken). The record is from RNAcentral. Lineage: Eukaryota; Metazoa; Chordata; Aves; Galliformes; Phasianidae.